GGGACAGAGAGUAGAGAGAGAGAGGUAGAGGGACAGAGAGUAGAGAGAGAGAGGUAGAGGGACAGAGAGUAGAGAGAGAUGUAGAGGGACAGAGAGUAGAGAGAGAGGUAGAGGGACAGAGAGUAGAGAGAGAGGUAGAGGGACAGAGAGUAGAGAGAGAGAGGUAGAGGGACAGAUAGUAGAGAGAGAGAGGUAGAGGGACAGAGAGUAGAGAGAGAGAGGUAGAGGAACAGAGAGUAGAGAGAGAGAGGUAGAGGAACAGAGAGUAGAAAGAGAGGUAGAGGAACAGAGAGUAGAGAGAGAGGUAGAGGGACAGAGAGUAGAGAGAGAGGUAGAGGAACAGAGAGUAGAGAGAGAGGGGUAGAGGGACAGAGAGUAGAGAGAGCGAGAGAGGUAGAGGGACAGAGAGUAGAGGUUCCUCUCUCCCAGUUUGACUUUCUCCUUCCAUUACGUUCCCCUACUCUUCUCCUUCCUCUCCCCCAUUCCUUUACAUCCUUCCCUCUCUCCUCUCUUCCCCCUGUUCUCCACCUGCCUGGUGGCCCCCUGAUCCCAAUUACUCUCUAUCUGGCUGGGCGUUGGAAUGGUGAACAUGCUCUGCUGUGUUUGGCCUGGCUGCCUGGGGGAACGGAACCCAGACUGUUGUUUUGUGUUGUGUAGAACCACUGCUGUGUUUUGUGUGUUGGGGUAAAAGUCGGCAUAGGAUAGACCUCCAUAGAUAUAAGCAUGCAUCUGGUAAUGAAUAGAUCCUACAAUCAACCAAUAAUCUACUUUUAUUACAAUACCACAGCACUGCACAUUACCCAAUAUUCAACCUUUCUGAACACAAGGAUCCAAUCAAACGGCCUAUGAAAUGAGCCAUGUUAUAUAUCACAGCACAACAGCUGUUGAAUGACAUACGACUGUAAACAGGAGAAUAUCACAACAUGCAGUAUUACAGCAACAUCUGUCUUUAUUCUCUUCUUCUGUGAUCCGUAAAAUAAAGGUAUGACAUUGGUGUCCAGUAGAAAAGCAGUGUAGACCUGCAUGGUGGGGGUUCAGCUCAACCAGUACCAGUACCAGAGGAAGUGUAGACCUGCAUGGUGGGGGUUCAGCUCAACCAGUACCAGUACCAGAGGAAGUGUAGACCUGCAUGGUGGGGGUUCAGCUCAACCAGUACCAGUACCAGAGGAAGUGUAGACCUGCAUGGUGGGGGUUCAGCACAACCAGUACCAGUACCAGAGGAAGUGUAGACCUGCAUGGUGGGGGUUCAGCUCAACCAGUACCAGUACCAGUACCAGAGGAAGUGUAGACCUGCAUGGUGGGGGUUCAGCUCAACCAGUACCAGUACCAGAGGAAGUGUAGACCUGCAUGGUGGGG
RNAcentral lists this long non-coding RNA (1356 nucleotides) under Salmo salar (Atlantic salmon). Its description in RNAcentral is "lncRNA (ENSSSAG00000090512.1)". Lineage: Eukaryota; Metazoa; Chordata; Actinopteri; Salmoniformes; Salmonidae. The record is from RNAcentral.